This 165-nucleotide small nuclear RNA is filed under the name Carlito syrichta (Philippine tarsier). RNAcentral's name for it is "U1 spliceosomal RNA (ENSTSYG00000032151.1)". It matches the Rfam family "U1 spliceosomal RNA". Rfam says of the family: U1 is a small nuclear RNA (snRNA) component of the spliceosome (involved in pre-mRNA splicing). Lineage: Eukaryota; Metazoa; Chordata; Mammalia; Primates; Tarsiidae. The record is from Rfam by way of RNAcentral.
AUACUUACCUGGCAGGGGAGAUACCCUGAUUACGAAGGUAGUUUUUCCCAGGGCGAGGCUUAUCCAUUGCACUCUGGAUGUGCUGACUCCUGUGAUUUCCCCAAAUAUGGGAAACUCGACUGCAUAAUUUGUGGUAGUAGGGGACUGCAUUCGCGCUCUCCCCUG